CUGUCUGAAUAUGGGGGGACCAUCCUCCAAGGCUAAAUACUCCUGACUGACCGAUAGUGAACCAGUACCGUGAGGGAAAGGCGAAAAGAACCCCGGCGAGGGGAGUGAAAAAGAACCUGAAACCGUGUACGUACAAGCAGUGGGAGCACCCUUCGGGGUGUGACUGCGUACCUUUUGUAUAAUGGGUCAGCGACUUAUAUUCUGUAGCAAGGUUAACCGAAUAGGGGAGCCGGAGGGAAACCGAGUCUUAACYGGGCGUUAAGUUGCAGGGUAUAGACCCGAAACCCGGUGAUCUAGCCAUGGGCAGGUUGAAGGUUGGGUAACACUAACUGGAGGACCGAACCGACUAAUGUUGAAAAAUUAGCGGAUGACCUGUGGCUGG
Molecule: ribosomal RNA, 382 nt
Filed under: Salmonella enterica subsp. enterica
Lineage: Bacteria; Pseudomonadati; Pseudomonadota; Gammaproteobacteria; Enterobacterales; Enterobacteriaceae
Description: bacterial LSU rRNA
Rfam family: Bacterial large subunit ribosomal RNA
Source: RNAcentral